UUGAUGUUUCUCAAGCAUUGGAUGCCCUGACUGGAAUUGAUGAUUCAACUCAGGUAGCAAUUAAUAGUGUAUUUCAUGUACUUGAAGAUAUGAUUACUCAGUUGGAAGGGGAAAGAAACCUGGAAAGUGAAAUCAAGAAUGGGGACGAAAAUGGACUUAAGGACAGAGGCAAGGUUCUUGAUCAAAAUACUAGCUCCAUCUCAAACAAUCACCCACGGAAAGUGAAAUCAUGAAUGAAGACGAUAAAGAUGGACUUGAGAAAAGUGAAAUCAAGAAUUGGGACGAUGAAAAUGGACUUAAGGACAGAGACAAGGUUCUUGAUCAAAAUACUAGCUCCA
RNAcentral lists this long non-coding RNA (338 nucleotides) under Nicotiana benthamiana. RNAcentral describes it as "long non-coding RNA (NBEN_LNC010469)". The record is from RNAcentral. Lineage: Eukaryota; Viridiplantae; Streptophyta; Magnoliopsida; Solanales; Solanaceae.